Molecule: transfer RNA, 79 nt
Filed under: Nanobdellota archaeon
Lineage: Archaea; Nanobdellati; Nanobdellota
Also listed under: 1 other name
Description: tRNA-Leu
Rfam family: tRNA
About the family: Transfer RNA (tRNA) molecules are approximately 80 nucleotides in length.
Source: RNAcentral
AGUUGCCUAAUCCGGUAGGGCAGAGGUCUCAAAAACCUCAGUCUCCCAAGACUUCUGGGUUCAAAUCCCAGCAUGGGUG